UACGAAGGGGGCUAGCGUUGUUCGGAAUUACUGGGCGUAAAGGGCGCGUAGGCGGUCCCUCAAGUCAGGCGUGAAAGCCCCGGGCUCAACCUGGGAACCGCGCUUGAGACUGAUGGGCUAGAGUUCGGGAGAGGAUGGUGGAAUUCCCAGUGUAGAGGUGAAAUUCGUAGAUAUUGGGAGGAACACCGGUGGCGAAGGCGGCUACCUGGACCGAUACUGACGCUGAGACGCGAAAGCGUGGGGAGCAAACAGG
This 253-nucleotide ribosomal RNA is filed under the name uncultured bacterium. RNAcentral describes it as "partial 16S ribosomal RNA". It matches the Rfam family "Bacterial small subunit ribosomal RNA", at positions 524 to 776 of the family's 1533-position model. The record is from RNAcentral.